GUGUGUCAGAUUGGUUCCUAUAAGAAAAAAAAUUUGUUUGGCUGGAAACACAUAGCGCGUGUGCGCACACGUUGUAUACAUGACGACUAGCCGCUCAGCGAUAGAUAAAAACGAAUUAACCUUUUCGUAUAUCUUGACACAUUAUAACCACAAUCGGGGAGCGCUUAUUGGUCCUUUACGUGCAGUAUUGUGAUGUCCCAUAAACAGCGUUUCUGGUUUUAUGGUUUCCACAGUCAUCACCAAUAAAGGCAGAAUCCUACUCUUGCACUCGGCGUAACGUUACGCCAUUCACCAGACUGAACAUGUUUUAUCCAGAGACGUAUACAGAGCCUUGUUGCCAAGAUUGUGGUGCUUUAGCCUCGCUCGAACACAUGCUCUGGUCUUGCGAAAGAAUUGAAGACUCGGCGAUCAAGGAUGCGUCCAGGUGGGAGGCUGCACUUCGCAGCCCGGACCUGGAUGAACAAUUCUGGGCUGUCCAGCAGGCUCACGAUGUGGCCGUGAGGCUUGGCCUUCCGGUCCCAACGUGGGAGCGGCGCGCUUAGUGAUUAAUCAUCACUACUUGCAGGACCACAUAAAGUUUUCCUUCCUUCCUUCCUUCACGCAAUAUCACAAGUCUAGGAUUGAACGACAGAAUGUAUUACUGAUGCGCACUGGGAUAUUACAACACGUAAUGUAUAUUAUAUAUCUGCUGCAGAAUUAUUGGGAAAGCUCAUUCGCAAUCAUCUAUUUAUGCUGGUCAAUCAAUGAAAAACACUUCCGUUGUCAAAGGAAAAGAAAAUUUUAAUAAUGACACUUGGCAAAGGAUCUGCGCGGAUGAAACUCACUGGCCAAAAAACUAUGACAGCGUCUAUGAUGCUGAACAACGUUAGCGAAAUUGCAGCAGUAGGCUGGUAAGAAACACAAAAGCAUUCAUCAGCUUAUUUUGGCCGACAACCAUACAGACACGGACCGAAUGAGUAUAUAUAAUAGGCAUUAAAAUUCACCGCAUAUCGCAUUGCAUAAUUAGCGCUCCUUUUUGUCUUGGGAAUUGUACGACCUAAUUAGCCUAAAAACAGAAUACGUUUGCUUUCAAACAAGGUAAUUACAUCAUUCUUUCUCCAGAGCCGCUGUUUCUCUCUGCAUCAAGGCGUACCAGCGUAUUGGAACUUCUAGUUGUAAUGGCAGGACGCAUCACAGCAUUUCUUCUCAUGUGCGCCGUGUUCGCCUACGGCAUCAUGGCCAUUGCAGCCAAUCAGGAUUCUACAGCCCGAGGAAGUUCGGUGCCGGCGAGUGCUCCCAAUGAAGAUGCAAGAAUCGGAACAGCUGCGAUACAAAGCUUGGCGGAUGGAGGCCUCGGCUGAAACUCACGUGAUUGGCUGCACCGAGAGAGCCGCGCGAGAGAAACGACUUUUGUCGCGGACUCGGUUUAUUCUUUAGCUAGUGCAUUUUUCACCGCUCAAAUGUAAUAAAUGUCGGUACAUUACGUG
This is a non-coding RNA of Dermacentor andersoni, 1466 nucleotides long. NCBI's taxonomy places the organism in Eukaryota, Metazoa, Arthropoda, Arachnida, Ixodida, Ixodidae. The record is from RefSeq and is a predicted model, not a curated record.